UACAUAUAUGAUUUUAGGAUGAAUCUUAUCUCACUGAGUAGAUUAGAUUCGAGAGGCUAUAGAAUGGUAGCCGGUGGAGGAAUCCUGAGGGUGCUACGGGUGAUAGGAUUAUGCUGGAGGGAAAGAAGGAGAGCAAAAGAUAUUAUUACCUGACAGGGAGCCCAGUGCGAGGUGGAGCUUCAGGAGCCAGAUGGAGCCCAGAGCGAGGUGGAGAUCUAGGUGGAGGUGGAUCGAGCACGAGAUAAGAGACUCGGAAGGAUGAGAGGUGACAUCGUAAGGUGAGAUUCUUAUUACUGCAGGAUGAUGCCCCAAGCAGAUCUCUAGUCAGGAGGAGCACAGCAUACGAUGGAGAUGGGAUCGAGUGACCUGGCUCGACUCCCAUAUUUGCCCAUCCUUGAUCUGUAGGUGAUUCUCCCAAGAUAUGGAGGCAAAGAGAUCUAGAAGCUCUCAGAGUUAGGAGG
This 461-nucleotide long non-coding RNA is filed under the name Elaeis guineensis (African oil palm). Its description in RNAcentral is "long non-coding RNA (EGUI_LNC035709)". Lineage: Eukaryota; Viridiplantae; Streptophyta; Magnoliopsida; Arecales; Arecaceae. The record is from RNAcentral.